Molecule: ribosomal RNA, 275 nt
Filed under: uncultured prokaryote
Description: partial 16S ribosomal RNA
Rfam family: Bacterial small subunit ribosomal RNA
Source: RNAcentral
UACGGAGGAUCCGAGCGUUAUCCGGAUUUAUUGGGUUUAAAGGGUGCGCAGGCGGGAGAUUAAGUCGGCGGUGAAAUUUUGACAGCUCAACUGUAAAAAGUGCCUUCGAAACUGGUUUCCUUGAGUGUGGAUGAAGUAGGCGGAAUUUGUGGUGUAGCGGUGAAAAUGCAUAGAUAUUACGAGGAACUCCGAUUGCGCAGGCAGCUUACUAAGCCAUAACUGACGCUCAGGCACGAAGGCGUGUGGAUCAAACAGGAUUAGAUACCCCGGGUAGU